RNAcentral lists this long non-coding RNA (282 nucleotides) under Elaeis guineensis (African oil palm). RNAcentral's name for it is "long non-coding RNA (EGUI_LNC035502)". The record is from RNAcentral. Lineage: Eukaryota; Viridiplantae; Streptophyta; Magnoliopsida; Arecales; Arecaceae.
CUGAUACCACCUAUAUCUUGUGUAUUGCACCAAUAUUGAUUCGAUCUCCACCUAAGACUAUUAUUUGAAUAAUAAAUAGACAAGGGAUUAGAGCAUGGAACUAUUAAGGGUCAUUUGGUGUCAUUAUUACUGCCUGCUAACUUGAUCCUAGCAAAACAAAUUUUAAAUUUUUUGUUUAAUCUUGUGUUUUAAAUUUUUGGAGCAUAGUGCUCCUGACUGUUUGUAAUUUGACCAAAUCAAAUUGAAUUUUGAUCAUGAAUAUCUCCAUUGAAGUCCUCGAGA